AUUGAACGCUGGCGGCAUGCCUUACACAUGCAAGUCGAACGGCAGCACGGGAGCAAUCCUGGUGGCGAGUGGCGAACGGGUGGAGUAAUAUAUCGGAACGUGCCCAGUCGUGGGGAUAACGUAGCGAAAGCUACGCUAAUACCGCAUACGAUCUAUGGAUGAAAGCGGGGGAUCGCAAGACCUCGCGCGAUUGGAGCGGCCGAUAUCAGAUUAGGUAGUUGGUGAGGUAAAGGCUCACCAAGCCGACGAUCUGUAGCUGGUCUGAGAGGACGACCAGCCACACUGGGACUGAGACACGGACCAGACUCCUACGGGAGGCAGCAGUGAGGAAUAUUGGGACCAAAUGGGCGGCAAGCCUGAUCCAGCCAUGCCGCGUGCAGGAAGAAGCAUCUAUGGUGUGUAAACUGCUUUUGUACGGGAAGAACAACUCCUACGUGUAGGAGCUUGAC
This 449-nucleotide ribosomal RNA is filed under the name uncultured bacterium. Its description in RNAcentral is "bacterial SSU rRNA". It matches the Rfam family "Bacterial small subunit ribosomal RNA", at positions 30 to 473 of the family's 1533-position model. The record is from RNAcentral.